RNAcentral lists this ribosomal RNA (591 nucleotides) under Variovorax sp. GLT-Slr-51. RNAcentral's name for it is "bacterial SSU rRNA". It matches the Rfam family "Bacterial small subunit ribosomal RNA", at positions 115 to 702 of the family's 1533-position model. The record is from RNAcentral. Lineage: Bacteria; Pseudomonadati; Pseudomonadota; Betaproteobacteria; Burkholderiales; Comamonadaceae.
ACAUCGGAACGUGCCCAAUCGUGGGGGAUAACGCAGCGAAAGCUGUGCUAAUACCGCAUACGAUCUACGGAUGAAAGCAGGGGAUCGCAAGACCUUGCGCGAAUGGAGCGGCCGAUGGCAGAUUAGGUAGUUGGUGAGGUAAAGGCUCACCAAGCCUUCGAUCUGUAGCUGGUCUGAGAGGACGACCAGCCACACUGGGACUGAGACACGGCCCAGACUCCUACGGGAGGCAGCAGUGGGGAAUUUUGGACAAUGGGCGAAAGCCUGAUCCAGCCAUGCCGCGUGCAGGAUGAAGGCCUUCGGGUUGUAAACUGCUUUUGUACGGAACGAAACGGCCUUUUCUAAUAAAGAGGGCUAAUGACGGUACCGUAAGAAUAAGCACCGGCUAACUACGUGCCAGCAGCCGCGGUAAUACGUAGGGUGCAAGCGUUAAUCGGAAUUACUGGGCGUAAAGCGUGCGCAGGCGGUAAUGUAAGACAGUUGUGAAAUCCCCGGGCUCAACCUGGGAACUGCAUCUGUGACUGCAUUGCUGGAGUACGGCAGAGGGGGAUGGAAUUCCGCGUGUAGCAGUGAAAUGCGUAGAUAUGCGGA